CAAUCCCCCUCUAUGUCCCCCCCGUUCCCUUCCAAACCGUACCAACAAACACCCAUCCGCUCUCUAUUCUUUCUUUUCCCCACAUUUACUUGGCCUCAUUAUGUUUUAAGUGUACAGACACCACAUAAGCAAGCUACCUCAUUUCUUCUUCCUCUUCCUUCCGAAUGUUAUCUUUCUUUUUAUUCACUCUUUCAAUCUCUCUAAAUCUUUUCUUUCUAAGUUAGGACAAGGAAACCCCAUCAUAGGCAAUAUCUGCCCAAGCAAAAGCAGCAGAAAAUAACAAUCAAAACGCUUGAGGUGCUGUGAGGGCGAAAGCUCUCUUCAAGAGUGGUGGAAUAUGGAGAUUACAGUUGUAAAUCCAUCUACAAUGGGAAUUGAAGCAAGAUUGAGCUUUUUCAUGAGACUUUAUGUGAAGCAAAUGGGCUUCGGAUGCUCAUAUGAAGAAGCAUGGGGCAAUUAUAAAAGGCCUAUCAUUUUCUUCAAACUCCAAUCUCUGCAGCAAGCUCUCUUCUUCUUCAGCUUUCGCUGAUGGGAGAUGGUGGAUGUGGCGGCGGCCGCGGUGGUGAUAUUGGUGGAAUCGGCUCAAUCUUAUUGUUCAUUUAUGAAUACACUAAAUAUUUUUUUGCUGCUUAGUGCUAACAUUGUUUCUCCAUAAUGUUGGUCAGAGCAAUGGGUAUGUUGCUGCUCUCUUUGUUGAUCUUUUCCUCUCUUAAUUUUAAAAUUUUAGUGAUGCGAACUUCCUCUUUUGGCUUUAGUUAGUGCUUGUGCUUGUUUCUUGAGGU
This is a long non-coding RNA of Hibiscus syriacus, 782 nucleotides long. RefSeq lists it as uncharacterized. NCBI's taxonomy places the organism in Eukaryota, Viridiplantae, Streptophyta, Magnoliopsida, Malvales, Malvaceae. The transcript has 2 exons. The record is from RefSeq and is a predicted model, not a curated record.